This 72-nucleotide transfer RNA is filed under the name Rhodothermaceae bacterium. RNAcentral's name for it is "tRNA-Thr". It matches the Rfam family "tRNA". From Rfam's summary of the family: Transfer RNA (tRNA) molecules are approximately 80 nucleotides in length. Their secondary structure includes four short double-helical elements and three loops (D, anti-codon, and T loops). Lineage: Bacteria; Pseudomonadati; Rhodothermota; Rhodothermia; Rhodothermales; Rhodothermaceae. The record is from RNAcentral.
GCUGGCGUAGCUCAACGGUAGAGCAGCUCACUUGUAAUGAGCAGGUUGGGGGUUCGACUCCCUCCGCCAGCU